GUAGUCAUAUGCUUGUCUCAAAGAUUAAGCCAUGCAUGUCUAAGUAUAAGCAAUUAUACCGCGAAACUGCGAAUGGCUCAUUAUAUAAGUUAUCGUUUAUUUGAUAGUACCUUACUACUUGGAUAACCGUGGUAAUUCUAGAGCUAAUACAUGCUAAAAAUCCCGACUUCGGAAGGGAUGUAUUUAUUAGAUUAAAAACCAAUGCCCUUCGGGGCUCACUGGUGAUUCAUGAUAACUCCUCGAAUCGCAUGGCCUUGUGCCGGCGAUGGUUCAUUCAAAUUUCUUCCCUAUCAACUUUCGAUGUUUGGGUAUUGGCCAAACAUGGUUGCAACGGGUAACGGAGGGUUAGGGCUCGACCCCGGAGAAGGAGCCUGAGAAACGGCUACUACAUCCAAGGAAGGCAGCAGGCGCGCAAAUUACCCAAUCCCGACACGGGGAGGUAGUGACAAUAAAUACUGAUACAGGGCUCUUUUGGGUCUUGUAAUUGGAAUGAGUACAAUUUAAAUCCCUUA
This 512-nucleotide ribosomal RNA is filed under the name uncultured fungus. RNAcentral describes it as "SSU rRNA". It matches the Rfam family "Eukaryotic small subunit ribosomal RNA", at positions 20 to 536 of the family's 1831-position model. Lineage: Eukaryota; Fungi. The record is from RNAcentral.